AAGUGGUUGUUCACUCACUCACCUGGAUGUUUGUCUUUAAGAUUUAAGCAGAAUUGUAAUUUUCUUUUAAGUUUUUAUUACAGUAUGUUGAUCAUAUAAAGCAAUGGGUUUCCUGACAGUUUCACCAAAUAUCAUGGACUUGGAUCAGAGUCGCCCCUGUUAACCCUCUUGUUCCUUCACCCACCCCUUCCUCUUCCCUUCCCCUCCCCUAAUAGAUGCCUUCUGUUUCCAUGUCACAUAUGACAAACAGAUUUUAUGUAUGGACUCACAAAUAAAAACAGGCUAAGGAUUUGUGUAAGACAUCUUCUUAAGUUCUCUGUCCUACAACUAGCUCAGUAUACCAGGCUGGUCUCAAACCCACAGAAAUCCAUCUGCCUCUGCCUCCAGAGCACCACCACCCAGAAACAAGUGAAGUCUUAAAGUCAAUGUGAAGACUUUAGGUGGGGCAUUGAGGAAAUUACUGAAUUUAGGUGAGGUCAUAAGAGCAGGGCCUUCAGGAUAGGAAGAGGAAGAGUCAACAGAGCCUAUUCUCUUUACAGAAUACAAGAGAUUAGCCAACUGCCAGUUGGAAGAGAGUCCUUAUUGGACCCAAAUCUUUGGCACCUGAUAUAGGACAUACCAACAUCCCAAGCUGUGAAGUCAGCAUCUGUUGUUUAAAUUAUCGCAUUUGGAGUGUUUUGUUACAGCAGCCCAGGGUGACUGACACAAAUGAAUUCUCACAGCACCACCAUAACUAAACAAGUAUGGAUACACACAGCUUUUUGUUUUCUACAUGAACAGAAAGAUCAGCACCGUGUCUAGAAUCACAUGAUCAGCAAUAGAGCAAAACUUUAAAUCUUUCUAGGGUGAAUUUACUCAUUUAUUUAAUAAAGCAUUAAUUGAUGACCCACUUUAAGACGAAAUUCACACUGGGCCAUGGUGUCACACACCUUUAAUGCCAGCACUCAGCUUUACAAGAUUGUCUCUCACAAUCUUCCUGUCCCCAGUUGUUCAAUGUUCCUUUGGACUUAGGUACAGCAAUUGUGCUGUGAUGUAUCAGUUGAGACUGGGCUUCACACCUCUGUUGUUUUGCUGUAGUGGUCUCUGCUGCAAAGAGAAGUUUCCUUGACACAGGGUAAGAAUUGUACUUUCUCUUUUCAGAGGUUUAGUCCAUUAUCAUCAUGGCAGGAAGCAUGGCAACACAGAGGCGGACAUGGUGUUAGAGAAGAAGCUGAGGUUCUAAAUCUUGAUCUGCAGGAAGAAGACUAUAUGUCACACUGGGCGUAGCUUGAGCAUAGGAGACCUCAAAGCCCAUCCUCACAGUAGCUCACUUCCUCCAACAAGGCCACACCUCCUAAUAGUGCAUAAACACCGGAGUCUAUGGGGGCCAUACCUAUUCAAACAACACAGAUAGUCUAUGGCUCAAGGAGGAGCACUCUCAGCUGAGAUGAGAAAAUUUUACUGAACUGUGUGUGCUAAUUCACA
RNAcentral lists this long non-coding RNA (1464 nucleotides) under Cricetulus griseus (Chinese hamster). Its description in RNAcentral is "lncRNA (ENSCGRG00015035068.1)". Lineage: Eukaryota; Metazoa; Chordata; Mammalia; Rodentia; Cricetidae. The record is from RNAcentral.